GUACUGAUGAAGAGUCCCAAACUAGGACGAUACAGUUGUUCAGUAC
This 46-nucleotide non-coding RNA is filed under the name Trichobilharzia regenti. Lineage: Eukaryota; Metazoa; Platyhelminthes; Trematoda; Strigeidida; Schistosomatidae. The record is from RNAcentral.